Molecule: ribosomal RNA, 253 nt
Filed under: uncultured bacterium
Lineage: Bacteria
Description: partial 16S ribosomal RNA
Rfam family: Bacterial small subunit ribosomal RNA
Source: RNAcentral
UACGGAGGGGGCUAGCGUUGUUCGGAAUUACUGGGCGUGAAGCGCACGUAGGCGGCUUUGCAAGUUAGAGGUGAAAGCCCGGGGCUCAACUCCGGAAUUGCCUUUAAAACUGCAUCGCUAGAAUUGUGGAGAGGUAAGUGGAAUUCCGAGUGUAGAGGUGAAAUUCGUAGAUAUUCGGAAGAACACCAGUGGCGAAGGCGACUUACUGGACACAUAUUGACGCUGAGGUGCGAAAGCGUGGGGAGCAAACAGG